Molecule: ribosomal RNA, 434 nt
Filed under: uncultured bacterium
Lineage: Bacteria
Description: partial 16S ribosomal RNA
Rfam family: Bacterial small subunit ribosomal RNA
Source: RNAcentral
AACGAACGCUGGCGGCAUGCCUAACACAUGCAAGUCGAACGAGACCUUCGGGUCUAGUGGCGCACGGGUGCGUAACGCGUGGGAACCUGCCCUUAGGUUCGGAAUAACUCCCCGAAAGGGGUGCUAAUACCGGAUAAUGUCUUCGGACCAAAGAUUUAUCGCCUUUGGAUGGGCCCGCGUUGGAUUAGCUAGUUGGUAGGGUAAAAGCCUACCAAGGCGACGAUCCAUAGCUGGUCUGAGAGGAUGAUCAGCCACACUGGGACUGAGACACGGCCCAGACUCCUACGGGAGGCAGCAGUGGGGAAUAGUGGACAAUGGGCGAAAGCCUGAUCCAGCAAUGCCGCGUGAGUGAUGAAGGCCUUAGGGUUGUAAAGCUCUUUUACCCGGGAUGAUAAUGACAGUACCGGGAGAAUAAGCACCGGCUAACUCCGUGC